UGCGGAGGAUCAUUACCAAGAGAAAUCUUUCAACACUGAAAGAUCUUUUCCUUUGUGCUGGCUUUGACCGUAUGUAAUUUUGGGACUUUAAAAUGGUUCGCAAGGGCCGGUCCCAAAAACAAUAUAUCAUCCUUAUGAAAUUUUUUCUGAACAAUUAAACAAAUGAUUUUAAUAAUCUGUUUAAAACAACUUUCAACAACGGAUCUCUUGGUUCUCGCAUCGAUGAAGAACGCAGCGAAAUGCGAUACGUAAUGUGAAUUGCAGAAUUCAGUGAAUCAUCGAAUCUUUGAACGCACAUUGCACUCCUUGGUAUUCCGAGGAGUAUGCCUGUUUCAGUAUCAUGAGCACUCUCACACCUAACCUUUGGGUUUAUGGCGUGGAAUUGGAAUGCGCCGACUGUCAUGGUUGGCCCUUCUAAAAUGUAGUUCUUGGCUGUCACCUAAUACAGCAGUUUGGCCUAAUAGUUUUGGCAUUCAUUGUCAAAUCUUUGGCUAACAUUUGCUCCAGGAGUCAGUCUUGAUAAUACAGAAAACUCAUUCAAAUUUUGAUCUGAAAUCAGGUAGGGCUACCCGCUGAACUUAAGCAUAUCAAUAAGCGGAGGAAAAGAAACUAACAAGGAUUCCCCUAGUAACGGCGAGUGAAGCGGGAAGAGCUCAAAUUUAAAAUCUGGUUUGCUUUGCAAAUCCGAGUUGUAGUCUGAAGAAACGUUUUCCAUGAAAGCUGAGGCACAAGUCCUUUGGAACAGGGCAUCAUAGAGGGUGAGAAUCCCGUCCAUGGUCUCAAGCCUUUCAUUUUGUGAUACGUUUUCUAAGAGUCAGGUUGUUUGGGAAUGCAGCCUAAAAUGGGUGGUAAAUUUCAUCUAAAGCUAAAUAUUGGCGAGAGACCGAUAGCGAACAAGUACCGUGAGGGAAAGAUGAAAAGAACUUUGAAAAGAGAGUUAAAAAGUACGUGAAAUUGUUGAAAGGGAACCGUUUGAAGCCAGUCUUGCUUGCUUGUGAUCAAUCUUUGCUUCGGCUUGGAUGCACUCUCAGGUUAUGCAGGUCAACGUCAGUUUGAGAGGUGGGAAAAAAGCUUGAGGAAUGUGGCCUUCGGGUGUUAUAGCCUCUUGCUAAAUACCAUCUUUUGGACUGAGGCUCGCAGCAAAAAUGUGGGCAGGUUUGCGUUUGAGGUGAUACAUUAUUAAGACAGCUUGCUGACUUAGUUUUGUCUAUCUUCACUGUAAGC
Molecule: ribosomal RNA, 1224 nt
Filed under: Mortierella sp. OGW2
Lineage: Eukaryota; Fungi; Mortierellomycota; Mortierellomycetes; Mortierellales; Mortierellaceae
Description: eukaryotic LSU rRNA
Rfam family: Eukaryotic large subunit ribosomal RNA (bases 546-1224)
Source: RNAcentral